CCUCCCGUUUCCACAAAUUUCGCAAAACCUCUUCUAAAACCCCUCUUCGUCUUCCUCGUUCUCUGCAACUCCAGGACUGGACAAUGGGUUGAAGCAGGGCGCGCGUUGGGUAUCAUCGGUUCCACCUUCUAACCUGUGUAUCCUUAUGCGUUGGUCUCGUCACGAGGUUGCUCGUGAAAAAUUCUGUUCUUGCUUCCUCUAUAUAGCACGACCUUCAUAUCUUGUACUUAAAAGUAGCCGCUGUACGGGUUCUGUUAAUACUGCUAUUAGCUACAGGAGAGAGUAUAACAGCUGGGCAUUGUCAGAAUCACAUAGUGAGAGGCUUUCUAACCACAGUCAAGUCGUAAAUCUUCCAUCUAGGAGGGAGUUGAGCAAUCUGGGUUAUUCUCUGAAAGUUGCGCGUAGUGAACCGUACUCUAUUCUCAAAGCCCCUGCUCUUCAGCACUGGUUCAAAGAUUGGCAAGAACAAAGGAAAAAUAAGCUCACAGCAAGCACUUUUAGUUCAGCAAUUGGUUUUUGGCGUCAGCGGAGAGUCCAGCUCUGGUUAGAAAAAGUUGGCUUGAUUGAGCCAUUUUCUGGUAACUUGGCUACCUGUUGGAGUAAUAUAAAGGAAAAGGAGGCGCUUGAAUGUUACAAGCUUUUCACUGGAAAUAACAUCACGUUCCCUGAGUUUCAAGUUUAUGGAAACAAUAACUCCGAAGACAGUUGGCUUGCUGCUUCACCAGAUGGCGUAGUUGACGAACUUGUUUAUGGCUUGCCCUGCAAUGGAGUUUUGGAGAUCAAGUGCCCGUACUUCAAUGGACAUGCGAAAACAGCUUCCCCGUGGUCUCGGAUUCAUCUAAAUUACAUUCCUCAAGUGCAAGGUUUAAUGGAAAUUUUGGACAGGGAUUGGAUGGAUUUCUAUGUAUGGACUCCCAAAGGCAGCAGUCUUUUCAGAAUAUACCGCGAUAAGGAAUACUGGGAUCUUUUGAAGCUUGCUCUUUCUGAUUUCUGGUGGAAGCAUGUGCGGCCAGCAAGGGAGCUGUGUAGUAAAUACAAGAUAACUGAUCCCCUAUAUCAACUAAGAUCGUUUCGACCAGCACCGAGGCAUGAAUUAUGUAGUCGAAUUGUCUGUGAAAGCAAACGUGUUGUGGACUCGUCCAAGCUAUUGUUUUAUGAAAUUGACGGGAAACUCCAAGAUUGACAUCUGGACAGCCAUAAAAUGAGUUAUAGAAACUUUUGGUGUGGCUUAAUAUGGUUGAACAUCAUCUCAUACAUAGUGGAAGAUACGAUCAGGACUUUAAGAUACAGAAGUAUCUGUGAUAUAGCCUUGUGUUUCUGGACUUUAUGAUAGUGAACCGAUCAUUGCAGAAUGCAGGGUAAAGCUUCAGACUUUUCAUUUCACCGGACCUAAAAUGCUGGAUCCUAUCGCACCAAAAUGCAGCUUUGAGGUAUGCUGACGUAACCUAAUUGAUAAUACGAUGAGAGGAUGGGCAUCAUUCUCAUAUACUGUGAAGGAUUGUCCUAGAAAGACUGGGACAUUUGUUUAACCAUCAUUGGCCGUGAGGCUCAUGUGAGUAAAACUCCUUGACUGAGAUUUUGUUUCUUCACCUAAGAUGAGAAUGGAAAUUGGGAUCCAAGAAAACAUGGAAAUCAGUGGUUACCCGUCGUUGGAGCGGCAAAUAAUCAAAACUCGGUUUUGCUUCCUUCUCAAGGCAAAGUCAGUUGACCAUGGUCCAGGCUGUCCACCAGUUUAUCUCAAUGUGUAUGAUCAGACAAAAUGAAUGUAUAUGUUUACUUGGUUGGACCUGGCAUCAUUCACUCUGAUGAAGGGUUCAUGGUGUGGAAUAUGCAUUUGGAAUAUCCAAAAUGUUGUGAUUGAGGUUGAACCUUGGCAAUGCCCUGGCUUCAAGUUUAGAAAAUCGAUAUUCAGCAGGACCAUGUCCUUGGACCCUACUCAGGUUAGGGAGUUCAUGGAAAACCAUGCUGCAAGCUGCAAUUGUGAUACAUAUCACUUGACUUUAAGAAUUACUACACUUCAGCAAGGAUAUUUGUUACAAGCUGGCAGGGAAACUGAUUUCAAAUGGGCCAAUUGGCUUCUGAGAAUAGGUAUCCAAUUCGUACCUCACUUUUCUACGCUGAGUUUCUUCUGAAAUAUAAUGAAACCCAAAAGCAUGCUUCCCAGGGCAAAUGAGUUCAUGCUGUAUUUUUUUCUUUCUCUUUUGCUGCUUCUGCCUUUUGACACUGUACGUGUCUAUGUUGAAAAAGGAAUAAAUAAAAUACGC
Molecule: RNA transcript, 2264 nt
Organism: Rhodamnia argentea
Lineage: Eukaryota; Viridiplantae; Streptophyta; Magnoliopsida; Myrtales; Myrtaceae
Exons: 4
Source: RefSeq, a predicted model, not a curated record